UCUAGCAUGUGCGCGAGUCAUUGGGACUCUUACGAAACCUAAAGGCGCAAUGAAAGUGAAGGUCCGCCCAGCGCGGACCGAGGGAGGAUGGGCGGUCCCGAGGGACCGCCCCGCACUCCCGGGGCGUCUCGUUCUCAUCGCGAGAAGAGGCGCACCCAGAGCGUACACGCUGGGACCCGAAAGAUGGUGAACUAUGCCUGGUCAGGACGAAGUCAGGGGAAACCCUGAUGGAGGUCCGUAGCGAUUCUGACGUGCAAAUCGAUCGUCGGAACUGGGUAUAGGGGCGAAAGACUAAUCGAACCAUCUAGUAGCUGGUUCCCUCCGAAGUUUCCCUCAGGAUAGCUGGCGCUCGCUUCUCGCGAGUCUCAUUCGGUAAAGCGAAUGAUUAGAGGCAUUGGGGUCGAAACGGCCUCAACCUAUUCUCAAACUUUAAAUGGGUGAGAUCUCCGGCUUGCUUGAACUGUUCAACUUUGAAGCCGCGAGAUAUCGGAUCAGAGUGCCAAGUGGGCCACUUUUGGUAAGCAGAACUGGCGCUGUGGGAUGAACCAAACGCUGAGUUAAAGCGCCUAAAUCGACGCUUAUGGGAUACCAUGAAAGGCGUUGGUAACUUAAGACAGCAGGAC
Molecule: ribosomal RNA, 623 nt
Filed under: Achloa sp. DA-2012
Lineage: Eukaryota; Metazoa; Arthropoda; Insecta; Coleoptera; Scarabaeidae
Description: LSU rRNA
Rfam family: Eukaryotic large subunit ribosomal RNA
Source: RNAcentral